Molecule: ribosomal RNA, 301 nt
Filed under: uncultured bacterium
Lineage: Bacteria
Description: partial 16S ribosomal RNA
Rfam family: Bacterial small subunit ribosomal RNA
Source: RNAcentral
CAGUAGCCGCGGGAAUACGAAGGGGGCUAGCGUUGUUCGGAAUUACUGGGCGUAAAGGGCGCGUAGGCGGCCAUUCAAGUUAGAUGUGAAAGCCCUGGGCUCAACCUAGGAAUUGCAUUUGAUACUGUUUGGCUUGAGUUCGGGAGAGGUGAGUGGAAUUCCCAGUGUAGAGGUGAAAUUCGUAGAUAUUGGGAAGAACACCGGUGGCGAAGGCGGCGACCUGGUCCUUUACUGACACUGAGGCGCGAAAGCGUGGGGAGCAAACAGGAUUAGAUACCCCCGUAGUCCCUGUCUCUUAUAC